GUGCCAGCAGCCGCGGUAAUACGGAGGGUGCAAGCGUUGUUCGGAAUUAUUGGGCGUAAAGCGCGUGUAGGCGGUUUGUUAAGUCUGGUGUGAAAGCCCUGGGCUCAACCUGGGAAGUGCAUUGGAUACUGGCAAACUUGAGUACGGGAGAGGAUAGUGGAAUUUCGAGUGUAGGGGUGAAAUCCGUAGAUAUUCGAAGGAACACCGGUGGCGAAGGCGGCUAUAUGGACCGAUACUGACGCUGAGACGCGAAAGAGUGGGGAGCACACAGGAGGAGAAACCAACGGAGGAC
Molecule: ribosomal RNA, 292 nt
Filed under: uncultured bacterium
Lineage: Bacteria
Description: partial 16S ribosomal RNA
Rfam family: Bacterial small subunit ribosomal RNA
Source: RNAcentral